Molecule: ribosomal RNA, 450 nt
Filed under: uncultured Acaulospora
Lineage: Eukaryota; Fungi; Glomeromycota; Glomeromycetes; Diversisporales; Acaulosporaceae
Description: SSU rRNA
Rfam family: Eukaryotic small subunit ribosomal RNA
Source: RNAcentral
AGCAGCCGCGGUAAUUCCAGCUCCAAUAGCGUAUAUUAAAGUUGUUGCAGUUAAAAAGCUCGUAGUUGAAUUUCGGAGUUUGUCGGUUGGUCGGGCUUCACUGUCCGCACUGACCUGAUGGAUUCCUACCUUCUGAAUAACCAGCAUGCUAUUAAGUUAGUGCGUUGGGGAAGCAGAGCUAUUACCUUGAAAAAAUUAGAGUGCUUAAGGCAGGCUUGUGCUUGAAUAGAUUAGCAUGGAAUAAUAAAAUAGGACGGCAUGGUUCUAUUUUGUUGGUUUCUAGGAUCACCGUAAUGAUUAAUAGGGAUAGUUGGGGGCAUUAGUAUUCAAUUGUCAGAGGUGAAAUUCUUGGAUUUAUUGAAGACUAACUUCUGCGAAAGCAUUUGCCAAGGAUGUUUUCAUUAAUCAAGAACGAAAGUUAGGGGAUCGAAGACGAUCAGAUACCGUCGU